This 805-nucleotide ribosomal RNA is filed under the name uncultured bacterium. RNAcentral describes it as "bacterial SSU rRNA". It matches the Rfam family "Bacterial small subunit ribosomal RNA", at positions 110 to 917 of the family's 1533-position model. The record is from RNAcentral.
GUAACGCGUAUCCAACCUGCCCUUCACCACGGGAUAACCCGGCGAAAGUCGGACUAAUACCGUAUGUUGUCCAUUGACGGCAUCCGAUUUGGACGAAAGGCUUGGCGGUGAGGGAUGGGGAUGCGUCCGAUUAGCCAGACGGCGGGGUAACGGCCCACCGUGGCGACGAUCGGUAGGGGUUCUGAGAGGAAGGUCCCCCACACUGGAACUGAGACACGGUCCAGACUCCUACGGGAGGCAGCAGUGAGGAAUAUUGGUCAAUGGGCGUAAGCCUGAACCAGCCAAGUAGCGUGCAGGACGACGGCCCUAUGGGUUGUAAACUGCUUUUAUGCGGGGAUAAAGUGGCCCACGUGUGGGUUUUUGCAGGUACCGCAUGAAUAAGGACCGGCUAAUUCCGUGCCAGCAGCCGCGGUAAUACGGAAGGUCCGGGCGUUAUCCGGAUUUAUUGGGUUUAAAGGGAGCGUAGGCCGCGCCUUAAGCGUGUUGUGAAAUCCGGGUGCUCAACAUCCGGCUUGCAGCGCGAACUGGGGCGCUUGAGUGCGCAGAAAGUAGGCGGAAUUCGUGGUGUAGCGGUGAAAUGCUUAGAUAUCACGAGGAACUCCGAUUGCGAAGGCAGCCUACUGUAGCGCUACUGACGCUGAUGCUCGAAAGCGUGGGUAUCGAACAGGAUUAGAUACCCUGGUAGUCCACGCGGUAAACGAUGGAUGCUCGUUGUCGGCCCUUUGGGUCGGUGACCAAGCGAAAGCGUUAAGCAUCCCACCUGGGGAGUACGCCGGCAACGGUGAAACUCAAAGGAAUUGACGGC